GGAGAUUGUUCUGAAGAGGGGUACCAGUAAUCAGAAGGCGGUAAUUUGUACUGUAUAGUCUCAUUGUUUUCGAGAGAAGAGAGUUCUCAUUUUUUAUGCGAUGUGCCUCAUCAAUGAUAACAUAGCGCCAGCUGAAGCGCUUCAAUGCAUUUUUUUCUUUGAUGGCCAUUUCAAAGCUAGUCACACAAACAUCAAAUUUCCCUGCCACUAACAACUCUUCCACUAUGUGUUUCCUUUCAUCUUGACUUCCAAGAAGCUUUACAGCACGUAGAAUAGGACAGAAGCGACGAAUCUCCCUCAUCCAGUUGCCCAGAGUUGACUUUGGUGCUACCACCAUAUGGGGGCCAGUAAUU
This 353-nucleotide unclassified non-coding RNA is filed under the name Hevea brasiliensis (rubber tree). Lineage: Eukaryota; Viridiplantae; Streptophyta; Magnoliopsida; Malpighiales; Euphorbiaceae. The record is from RNAcentral.